RNAcentral lists this ribosomal RNA (1929 nucleotides) under Campylobacter jejuni. Its description in RNAcentral is "partial 23S ribosomal RNA". It matches the Rfam family "Bacterial large subunit ribosomal RNA", at positions 1 to 1793 of the family's 2925-position model. Lineage: Bacteria; Pseudomonadati; Campylobacterota; Epsilonproteobacteria; Campylobacterales; Campylobacteraceae. The record is from RNAcentral.
UAAAAAAAGGUAAGCUACUAAGAGCGAAUGGUGGAUGCCUUGACUGGUAAAGGCGAUGAAGGACGUACUAGACUGCGAUAAGCUACGGGGAGCUGUCAAGAAGCUUUGAUCCGUAGAUUUCCGAAUGGGGCAACCCAAUGUAUAGAGAUAUACAUUACCUAUAUAGGAGCGAACGAGGGGAAUUGAAACAUCUUAGUACCCUCAGGAAAAGAAAUCAAUAGAGAUUGCGUCAGUAGCGGCGAGCGAAAGCGCAAGAGGGCAAACCCAGUGCUUGCACUGGGGGUUGUAGGACUGCAAUGUGCAAGAGCUGAGUUUAGCAGAACAUUCUGGAAAGUAUAGCCAUAGAGGGUGAUAGUCCCGUAUGCGAAAAACAAAGCUUAGCUAGCAGUAUCCUGAGUAGGGCGGGACACGAGGAAUCCUGUCUGAAUCCGGGUCGACCACGAUCCAACCCUAAAUACUAAUACCAGAUCGAUAGUGCACAAGUACCGUGAGGGAAAGGUGAAAAGAACUGAGGUGAUCAGAGUGAAAUAGAACCUGAAACCAUUUGCUUACAAUCAUUCAGAGCACUAUGUAGCAAUACAGUGUGAUGGACUGCCUUUUGCAUAAUGAGCCUGCGAGUUGUGGUGUCUGGCAAGGUUAAGCAAACGCGAAGCCGUAGCGAAAGCGAGUCUGAAUAGGGCGCUUAGUCAGAUGCUGCAGACCCGAAACGAAGUGAUCUAUCCAUGAGCAAGUUGAAGCUAGUGUAAGAACUAGUGGAGGACUGAACCCAUAGGCGUUGAAAAGCCCCGGGAUGACUUGUGGAUAGGGGUGAAAGGCCAAUCAAACUUCGUGAUAGCUGGUUCUCUCCGAAAUAUAUUUAGGUAUAGCGUUGUGUCGUAAUAUAAGGGGGUAGAGCACUGAAUGGGCUAGGGCAUACACCAAUGUACCAAACCCUAUCAAACUCCGAAUACCUUAUAUGUAAUCACAGCAGUCAGGCGGCGAGUGAUAAAAUCCGUCGUCAAGAGGGAAACAACCCAGACUACCAGCUAAGGUCCCUAAAUCUUACUUAAGUGGAAAACGAUGUGAAGUUACUUAAACAACCAGGAGGUUGGCUUAGAAGCAGCCAUCCUUUAAAGAAAGCGUAAUAGCUCACUGGUCUAGUGAUUUUGCGCGGAAAAUAUAACGGGGCUAAAGUAAGUACCGAAGCUGUAGACUUGCACACAACUUAGAUUAUUUAAGUUUAGAAUAUGAGAAACUAAGUUAUAUGUUUAGUUAUAUUUUUACUGAUUUUUAUAGAGUAAAGAUAGAAAUAAAACUUAGUAAAAUCAGUAAAAAUAUUCUUAGGCUAAAGUUAAGUAGUUUAAGUUGUGUGCAAGUGGUAGGAGAGCGUUCUAUUUGCGUCGAAGGUAUACCGGUAAGGAGUGCUGGAGCGAAUAGAAGUGAGCAUGCAGGCAUGAGUAGCGAUAAUUAAUGUGAGAAUCAUUAACGCCGUAAACCCAAGGUUUCCUACGCGAUGCUCGUCAUCGUAGGGUUAGUCGGGUCCUAAGUCGAGUCCGAAAGGGGUAGACGAUGGCAAAUUGGUUAAUAUUCCAAUACCAACAUUAGUGUGCGAUGGAAGGACGCUUAGGGCUAAGGGGGCUAGCGGAUGGAAGUGCUAGUCUAAGGUUGUAGGAGGUUAUACAGGCAAAUCCGUAUAACAAUACUCCGAGAACUGAAAGGCUUUUUGAAGUCUUCGGAUGGAUAGAAGAACCCCUGAUGCCGUCGAGCCAAGAAAAGUUUCUAAGUUUAGCUAAUGUUGCCCGUACCGUAAACCGACACAGGUGGGUGGGAUGAGUAUUCUAAGGCGCGUGGAAGAACUCUCUUUAAGGAACUCUGCAAAAUAGCACCGUAUCUUCGGUAUAAGGUGUGGUUAGCUUCGUACUAGGAUUUACUCCGAAAGCGAAGAAACUU